UCUACGGAAGCUUAACUGGUCUAAGCAUUCGUCUGAUAAGCGAAAGACAGUUGGUUCGAGUCCAACCCGUAGGA
RNAcentral lists this transfer RNA (74 nucleotides) under Ignavibacteria bacterium. RNAcentral describes it as "tRNA-Ile". It matches the Rfam family "tRNA". Rfam says of the family: Transfer RNA (tRNA) molecules are approximately 80 nucleotides in length. Their secondary structure includes four short double-helical elements and three loops (D, anti-codon, and T loops). Lineage: Bacteria; Pseudomonadati; Ignavibacteriota; Ignavibacteria. The record is from RNAcentral. RNAcentral also lists the same sequence under 1 other name.